Long non-coding RNA from Dioscorea cayenensis subsp. rotundata (Guinea yam), 993 nucleotides. RefSeq lists it as uncharacterized. The transcript is spliced from 9 exons. The record is from RefSeq and is a predicted model, not a curated record. Lineage: Eukaryota; Viridiplantae; Streptophyta; Magnoliopsida; Dioscoreales; Dioscoreaceae.
AGCCGCUGCCGGAGCUCCGACAAGAAUGGGUAUUGAUCUCGUCGCCGGUGGCCGUAGCAAGAGGGUCAAGCGCACAGUUCCCAGGUUUGACAAUGUUUAUCUCAAGCUUCUCAUUAAGCUUUAUCGGUUUCUUGUGCGGAGGACGGGGAGCAAGUUCAAUGCCGUGGUGUUGAAGCGGCUUUUCAUGAGCAAGACCAAUCGGCCGCCGAUCUCGCUUCGUAGAUUGAUUAAGUUCAUGGAUGGGAAGGAGGUGAACUAAUCAUCUGGAAGUUACACACAUCUGAUGAUGGUUAUACAUGGAAAGUACUCAAGACAUUAUCAUUUCAUCAAAAAGACAUUCUUGAUGUUCAAUGGUCUGUUGAUGGUGCAUAUCUUGUUUCUAGUUCAGUUGAUAAUUCAUGUGUAAUUUGGGAUGCCAAUAAAGGUUCAGUCCAUCAGAUUUUGGAUGGUCAUUUGCAUUAUGUUCAAGGUUUCGCUUGGGAUCCUUUAGGCCAGUAUGUUGCUUCUCUUAGUUCAGAUAGAACAUGCCGAGUAUAUGUUAAUAAACCUCAAGCUAAAUUGAAGGGUUAUGAGAAAUUGAAUUAUGUUUCUCAGCAUGUUAUCACAAAGUCCGAACUACAAAGACAGGAAGACUGUAAGCCUCCUUCCAAAUCCCAUCUAUUUCAUGAUGAGACAUUACCAUCCUUUUUUCGGAGAUUAGCAUGGGCACUAGAUGGAUCAUUUUUGCUAGUACCAGCUGCACAAGUUUCCAUAAAAGUUUGACCAGAUUUAUGAGUCUAUCCUUUUUGAGGUCUGGAGAGUCUAGGUCUGGAGUCUGCUUCCCAUGCCCCUCACACUUCAAAGGAUGUUGAACAGCCUCAACCUGUCGAUCAUAUUGCAACAAAAUAAAUGUGGUGUUUUGGAUUACAUUAGAUACUUGGACUAUUACAUUUUGUAUUUGUUUGUUGUAUUAGAUGUUUGAACUAUUAUAUUUUGUAUUGCAUUGUUAUUUUA